Molecule: long non-coding RNA, 1094 nt
Organism: Vigna unguiculata (cowpea)
Lineage: Eukaryota; Viridiplantae; Streptophyta; Magnoliopsida; Fabales; Fabaceae
Source: RefSeq, a predicted model, not a curated record
CUUUUACGACAUUCUCACUCACGAAUCACGAUCUUCACUCUCACCAACAAACAAUCACGAUCCUCUACUGCAGAACCCUAACCACUUCAACCUCUUCCGUGCAAUCAAACUCGUUCUCCAGCGGCCACGGUGCAUUUCUAUCGGACCGCCUCUUGUUGAGCAUUUCCGUUACUAUCCGGUCUAAUUCCCCGCUGUUAUUCUCGUUGAAGAAAAUCUGUGGCAUCGUCCUUCACGCCAAAAACCUGCACGCCGUAAAGGUUGAAAUAUGUCACUCGGCAUUUCUCGCCAUCGCUGUCGUCGUUAUCAUCCUCCACAGGCUGGAAAAGCAAAGAGAGGCGCUUCGCGAUGAUCCUCAACAUCUCCGUCAGUGAGAACGGUGACCGUCUCACUCGCACUGCCAAGGCACCGAUUUUUUUUAUUUUGUAAUAAUAUUAUUAUGUUUUUCAUCUUCUCUUUUGUGCUCUCUUUUCUUCGCUCUCUCUAACUAGGUAAUUAGGUGCUCGAACAACUCAAUGGCCAAACCUAUGUUUUCUCCAAAGAUUACUCGGAGGAACUUUUAUUCAAGUUAAAUGAUUCAAGAAGAUAUAGAGGAACAAUGGAUCAACAAUUUAAUGCCCGUUUGUAGAGGAGAUUUCUUCACACGUCGUUUCCUCUCUGAUGGGACUCAAUUUUGGAAACUUCUGAUCACAUCCGCAUUUCAUAAAGAGUCAUGUUCCAAAGAUGAAAGUAUUCCUUUGCAACUACCUUAUAGAAGCAAUUCCAUGAAUUCAGAGGAUUCAUUCGCUGAGACAAGCAAUCUCAAGGUUCAGAUUGAAGAAGUUUAGUGAUUUGGUUGUGGGAAUAGCCUGUAGCAGUGUUGUUGGACUUCGGGAUGCUUCUCAAUUCCCUCCACGAACUUGCAUCUUCUGAUCCUGAUCUUGUAUGGAUUCUCUUAGCUGACAAAUAUUACACUAAAUAUAAAGCAAAUUUGCUUUAUAUUUAGCUGGAUAUUGCUUUCACAUGAUUUACUCUCAGCAUCAAAUGUAUAGCUAAGAUCUGAAUUAACGUGUAAACAUUUUUCUGGCUUUUCUAUCCCAUUGAUUCAUCAUCCUUUC